RNAcentral lists this ribosomal RNA (253 nucleotides) under uncultured bacterium. Its description in RNAcentral is "partial 16S ribosomal RNA". It matches the Rfam family "Bacterial small subunit ribosomal RNA", at positions 524 to 776 of the family's 1533-position model. The record is from RNAcentral.
UACGUAGGGGGCAAGCGUUGUCCGGAAUCAUUGGGCGUAAAGAGCGCGUAGGCGGCCCGGUAAGUCCGCUGUGAAAGUCAAAGGCUCAACCUUUGAAUGUCAGCGGAUACUGCCGGGCUAGAGUCCGGAAGAGGCGAGUGGAACUCCUGGUGUAGCGGUGGAAUGCGCAGAUAUCAGGAGGAAUACCCAUAGCGAAGGCAGCUCGCUGGGACGUUACUGACGCUGAGGCGCGAAAGCGUGGGGAGCGAACAGG